This 284-nucleotide ribosomal RNA is filed under the name uncultured bacterium. RNAcentral describes it as "partial 16S ribosomal RNA". It matches the Rfam family "Bacterial small subunit ribosomal RNA", at positions 338 to 631 of the family's 1533-position model. The record is from RNAcentral.
CCUACGGGAGGCAGCAGUGGGGAAUAUUGGACAAUGGGCGAAAGCCUGAUCCAGCAAUGCCGCGUGAGUGAUGAAGGCCUUAGGGUUGUAAAGCUCUUUUACCAGGGAUGAUAAUGACAGUACCUGGAGAAUAAGCUCCGGCUAACUCCGUGCCAGCAGCCGCGGUAAUACGGAGGGAGCUAGCGUUGUUCGGAAUUACUGGGCGUAAAAGCGCGCGUAAGGCGGCGAUUCAAGUCAGAGGUGAAAAGCCCGGGGCUNAAACCCCGACCGGUANCUUCGUUAAA